Long non-coding RNA from Vigna radiata var. radiata (mung bean), 505 nucleotides. RefSeq lists it as uncharacterized. The record is from RefSeq and is a predicted model, not a curated record. The transcript has 2 exons. NCBI's taxonomy places the organism in Eukaryota, Viridiplantae, Streptophyta, Magnoliopsida, Fabales, Fabaceae.
AAUUUCAUGAGCUGCCCUAUAAAUUUCCACGGAACUCAAACUUCGUAUAUAUCUUUUUCCUUUUUCUCUUUCCAGGAAUUCACAUAUUCUCAAAAGAAAAAAAUCGUUGCUUAAAAUGGGUCCAGGCGGCCCAGGCCCAGGCGGCCCGCCCGGUUGGGGUCCAUCCGGCCCAUCGGGGCCGGGUUUUUUCGGUGGGUUUUGCGAUAUCGUUAACUCUUGCUUAAGCUUUUUGUGCUGCUGCUGGUUAUUACAGGACUGCUUUGGGGGCCCGCCUGGAGGCCCAUUCCGCCCACCUGGGCCUCCAUGAGUUUCCAAGUUGCCAUAGGUUCCAAUGCUUAUCUUCCAUGAUUAUUGAAUAUAUAUAUAUAUAUAUAUACACACAUGUGUGUGUGUGAGACGUUCUAUAUGUUAUGUAAUUAAUUAUCAAUCAGAACUCUGCUAAUCUCUGUUUGAUGUAAUAAUACAUUCCUGGAACGGUAGAAGGUUGAAGAAUUAUUUAUUGUAA